RNAcentral lists this ribosomal RNA (387 nucleotides) under uncultured Rhodocyclaceae bacterium. Its description in RNAcentral is "bacterial SSU rRNA". It matches the Rfam family "Bacterial small subunit ribosomal RNA", at positions 997 to 1382 of the family's 1533-position model. Lineage: Bacteria; Pseudomonadati; Pseudomonadota; Betaproteobacteria; Rhodocyclales; Rhodocyclaceae. The record is from RNAcentral.
CCCGAAGAGAUUUGGGAGUGCUCGCAAGGAGAACCGGAACACAGGUGCUGCAUGGCUGUCGUCAGCUCGUGUCGUGAGAUGUUGGGUUAAGUCCCGCAACGAGCGCAACCCUUGUCAUUAGUUGCCAUCAUUUGGUUGGGCACUCUAAUGAGACUGCCGGUGACAAACCGGAGGAAGGUGGGGAUGACGUCAAGUCCUCAUGGCCCUUAUGGGUAGGGCUUCACACGUCAUACAAUGGUCGGUACAGAGGGUUGCCAACCCGCGAGGGGGAGCUAAUCCCACAAAGCCGAUCGUAGUCCGGAUCGCAGUCUGCAACUCGACUGCGUGAAGUCGGAAUCGCUAGUAAUCGUGGAUCAGCAUGUCACGGUGAAUACGUUCCCGGGUCUU